RNAcentral lists this ribosomal RNA (496 nucleotides) under uncultured bacterium. Its description in RNAcentral is "partial 16S ribosomal RNA". It matches the Rfam family "Bacterial small subunit ribosomal RNA", at positions 29 to 507 of the family's 1533-position model. The record is from RNAcentral.
AUGAACGCUGGCGGCGUGCCUCAUCCCUGCCAGUCGCGCGAACAGACGAGGAGCUUGCUCCUCUGACGUUAGCGGCGGACGGGUGAGUAACACGUGGAUAACCUACCUAUAAGACUGGGAUAACUUCGGGAAACCGGAGCUAAUACCGGAAAAUAUAUUGAACCGCAUGGUUCAAUAGUGAAAGACGGUUUUGCUGUCACUUAUAGAUGGAUCCGCGCCGCAUUAGCUAGUUGGUAAGGUAGCGGCUUACCAAGGCGACGAUGCGUAGCCGACCUGAGAGGGUGAUCGGCCACACUGGAACUGAGACACGGUCCAGACUCCUACGGGAGGCAGCAGUAGGGAAUCUUCCGCAAUGGGCGAAAGCCUGACGGAGCAACGCCGCGUGAGUGAUGAAGGUCUUCGGAUCGUAAAACUCUGUUAUUAGGGAAGAACAAAUGUGUAAGUAACUAUGCACGUCUUGACGGUACCUAAUCAGAAAGCCACGGCUAACUACGUG